CUGCAGUCCACAGAGGGGUCACAGAGAGGUGGACACAACUUAGUGACUGAACAAUAACAAGUCCAUUUGGAAAAAGUGAAAUGAACAAAUGAAGACAGGAGCGAAAUUAAAAGAUAAUUGGAAGUCUAUAUCGGGCUUCUGUGGAUGUGCGCACACUCCGCCAAUCUGGUCUCUCUGUGCGGGCAGGAUAAAUUGAGAACUCUUCGGCUGGCUCGGGGGGUGGAUAAAACAGAGACAAAUGCGUGCCAUGCAAAUAAACAGACCCAUCUUCCCAUGA
This is a long non-coding RNA of Bubalus bubalis (water buffalo), 277 nucleotides long. RefSeq lists it as uncharacterized. The record is from RefSeq and is a predicted model, not a curated record. The transcript is spliced from 2 exons. NCBI's taxonomy places the organism in Eukaryota, Metazoa, Chordata, Mammalia, Artiodactyla, Bovidae.